This is a long non-coding RNA of Mercurialis annua (annual mercury), 1106 nucleotides long. RefSeq lists it as uncharacterized. NCBI's taxonomy places the organism in Eukaryota, Viridiplantae, Streptophyta, Magnoliopsida, Malpighiales, Euphorbiaceae. The record is from RefSeq and is a predicted model, not a curated record. The transcript is spliced from 4 exons.
UCUUGGUCCCCUUGUGUCUUGGUUCAACCAAAUGGUUGAACUAAGGAGAAAACCCAGGUCUCAUGAGAGACCUGAGCUUUUCCCCGCACAGUCUCGUUCGAGACUGUGCCUGUCUCGAACGAGACAGUGCAAAAUUUGCACUGGUCUCGAACGAGACCAGCCUGUCUCGUUCGAGAACCAGGCAUAUUUUGCUGGUCUCGUUCGAGACCAGCGAUACCCCUCCAAGGAGGGCAGUUUGGGCAUAUUUUUCUCUUCUUUCGAAACCGUAUUUAAACCAAACUCCAACCCUAAUUCAUUCUCCACACUUCAAAGAAACCAUAGCCGUCUUUCCCUUCCUUUUUCGCUGAAAAAUCAUUGAUCGUUUCCGUUCUCAAAGCUUGAGAAAAGUAUCGAUCGAAAUUGAUUCCGCUUGAUCUCAGACGUUGUGGACUCGAUUCUCUACGUUCCUCUUUUUCGUGUUCGGUUAACGGUACGUUAUUUCCUUCGUUUGAGCCACCGCCGUUACAUCGUCGCGUUUGAUUUCAGUUUUUAGUUUUAAAACAACUUUCAAUGUUUUGGUUCGUUUGUUAUCGUUUCUAGGUCGAAAUUGUUUUCGUUUGAUCCCGGAGACUCUAGACUCUCCUACCUUCGAGUCCCUAGCUCUUUUACGCUUUACGGUGUGCCGCUGAGCUCGUGUUUAUCUCUGCCGUUUCGUCGCUUGACUCGUCUACUGUUCGUGCUUCAGAGGCGAACCAGAAUUAGUGCUUGCCAGUAUUUCACGUGGAUUAGCAAGCAGGUUAUGAUCUGAGAGAGUCUGGUGAUCUCCGCUUUUACUUUUCCUCGGAGGUUCCAUUUAUUUUUAGUAGAACUAUCAAACUGUUUUAUUCUUAGACCGCAGUAGUUGACUAGACGUCUUUAUUUUAUUCUAGUUGUUGUCGGAUUGGUCCGACUGGAUUAUUAUUGCUUUGGCAUGUUAUAUAAUUUUUCAGAAUCAUUUAUGUUACGCCUAAUUAUAAUUCAAUAUUGGAAAGCAUGUUAUAUUAAAUGUUGAUUAUUAUAACUGCUAGACUUAGGCUGAAGUCUCGGUUGCCCCCGAGCAUUGGUUUUCUUGCAGGUUUAUGUUUUGU